CUUGCCAGGAGAUUUGUGUCCGUGUCGCGUCCCCCUUGUUUGUCACGUCCUGUCUCGUCUCACGGGUGUCCUCACGCAUUUGUGCCGGAGCCGCUCUGCCCUGACGCAUAGCCCGGUGCAAUAGGAGAAGUCCCGGGCCUUGAAGUUUAUAAUGUGGGGUGUGGUUGGACUCUAGAUGGGCACAAGAUGUCUGGAGCUCUGCAGGUUAAGUUUUCCUGCAACAAUUUGACCAUUGUCCUAACGGUUUUUUUUUUUUCAGAUUCAUAUGGAUCAGAUCUGUGCCAGAGGGCCCCAUCCCAUGUGAGGCAAUUCUCCUGAGCAGGAAGUCAAUGCAGAGAGCAGCAGUCAAGGCCAAGUGGGCGAGGCAAUCCACUCGGCGUACGUCCAGCCGCCGUCACCUGCCGGCCGACACAGCGGGCCUCCUGCAAACGUGAGCCUUGUGGAAGUGUUACAGGAGUCUGCGAUGAUGAUGCCUUCAACUUUAUUUCAUGGUCCCAUCCCGGCAGCCCUCAGGAACGGCCAAGGAGUUGCGGUGCACCCUGCUACAAUGGCGUCGGCUGCCGAGCAGGCCCGAGGCGUGCGGCCCGAGGAGCCGGGCAUUCUCACGAGAACGACUAAGAGACAACAGCCUGGUGUCAGCAGGGACUUCCCAGAUAGCAGGUCCGCUUUCUUUCCACCCGGCACGGAUCGGCACGCCCACCUGUCUGAGAGAUAAGUAGAGGGCUACAACCCAGAGAGGGGAUGAAAGUUGGGUCUGGGUCACAGUUCACGGGGAGGGGAUUUUGGUUUGGCUUUGGAGACGGGGAUGUCCGAGCAAU
Molecule: long non-coding RNA, 818 nt
Organism: Serinus canaria (Common canary)
Lineage: Eukaryota; Metazoa; Chordata; Aves; Passeriformes; Fringillidae
Exons: 5
Source: RefSeq, a predicted model, not a curated record